UUUUUAAAUUGGAUUCAUCAGGGCUUAGUGCUGCGGAAAGGCAUAUGUGUCCAAAAAAUGUACAUAAGCCUAAGGUACUUUGGAAGGAUAUUCUAACAGGACAAUGGAAAGGUCCUGACUCAGUGAUUGUCUGGAGUGGGGGGUCUGUUUGUGUGUUUCCACAGGGAGAACAGCAGCCGAUUUGGAUUCCAGAGAGAUUAACUAAAGCGAUUUCUACAGACCAAAAAGAAGAUGAUUUGGCUCAAAUCCAUAACAGCUGAUAUCCAGAACUCCAGUUUGGCUAUUCUUACAUCUUCGACAGUGAUUCUCCCACACCUGGAGGCUAAUGAAUAAUGAACACCAUUAAGGCCUAUUUCAAAUGUAAGAAACCUUGGGGCUUACUUGUGGGAAUACCUUCAGACUCAUAUGCAAGUUACAGGAAGAAGGAUGGGAUAUCCAAAGAAGAGUAAAACCCAGGUGGUAACCAGGAUGCCUUUUUCAAUAUCUAUUUUAUUAUUGCCCUUUCCCACAUCAUAAAGUUCUAUUUUAUUUUUUAAGCUCAUACAGACCUAGUUUAAUGUUUUUCUGAUCAGUGCUAUUUUUUGACUGUGGAGUUUUUAAACGUUGCAAUGGAAAUUUCACCUGUGUAAAGCUACAAG
RNAcentral lists this long non-coding RNA (638 nucleotides) under Marmota monax (woodchuck). The record is from RNAcentral. Lineage: Eukaryota; Metazoa; Chordata; Mammalia; Rodentia; Sciuridae.